CCUACGGGAGGCUGCAGUGAGGAAUAUUGGUCAAUGGGCGAGAGCCUGAACCAGCCAAGUCGCGUGAGGGAGUACUGCCCUAUGGGUUGUAAACCUCUUUUGUCGGGGAGCAAAAGCCGGACGUGUCCGGCUGUGAGAGUACCCGAAGAAAAAGCAUCGGCUAACUCCGUGCCAGCAGCCGCGGUACUACGGGGGAUGCGAGCGUUAUCCGGAUUUAUUGGGUUUAAAGGGUGCGCAGGCGGAUUUUUAAGUCAGCGGUAAAAUCGUGGGGCUCAACCCCAUCCAGCCGUUGAAACUGGGGAUCUAGAGUGUGCGAGAGGUAUGCGGAAUGCGUGGUGUAGCGGUGAAAUGCAUAGAUAUCACGCAGAACCCCGAUUGCGAAGGCAGCAUACCGGUGCACAACUGACGCUCAGGCACGAAAGCGUGGGUAUCGAACAGGAUUAGAUACCCUUGUAGUC
Molecule: ribosomal RNA, 458 nt
Filed under: uncultured bacterium
Lineage: Bacteria
Description: partial 16S ribosomal RNA
Rfam family: Bacterial small subunit ribosomal RNA
Source: RNAcentral